UCGAAAUAUAAAGAAAAUUCA
This 21-nucleotide non-coding RNA is filed under the name Caenorhabditis elegans. The record is from RNAcentral. Lineage: Eukaryota; Metazoa; Nematoda; Chromadorea; Rhabditida; Rhabditidae.